UACGUAGGGCGCAAGCGUUGUCCGGAAUUAUUGGGCGUAAAGAGCGCGCAGGCGGUCGUUCAAGUCGCGUGUGAAAGCCCCCGGCUCAACUGGGGAGGGUCACGCGAUACUGAUCGACUCGAAGGCAGGAGAGGGUAGUGGAAUUCCCGGUGUAGUGGUGAAAUGCGUAGAUAUCGGGAGGAACACCAGUGGCGAAGGCGGCUUCCUGGCCCAAUACUGACACUCAGGUGCGACAGCGUGGGGAGCAAACAGG
Molecule: ribosomal RNA, 253 nt
Filed under: uncultured bacterium
Lineage: Bacteria
Description: partial 16S ribosomal RNA
Rfam family: Bacterial small subunit ribosomal RNA
Source: RNAcentral